GCGGGACUGGCCCUGCGCCCGGGCACCGCCUGCGCUGCGCCGCCCGGCCUCACUCCGCGGCCCGCCAGGACCCGGCCCCGGUGAACGGGCUCGGGGUGCCGAGGUCCGGCUGCGGGGCCGGGAAGCCACCUCCACCUUGCCGUCUGUUACGACCCCCGAGGCGCAAGGCUGAGCCCCAUCUCGCUAUCCGGGUCCGGAGGGGUUCACCUUAGAAGGAUUUUUUGAAGCUCUUGGCGCUGGCUCUAAAAGAACCCACUUCCUUGCGGAUUUCAGGAGUCAAGAAUCCUUAAACGGAGCCAAUUUGCUUUGUAAAGCCAAUUGCCCAAGUGACUUGAGUUCGAAAGGAGAUACUUCCUGGACAACUGCUAUAAAAACAACAACAAAUACUUUUAUUAAUUCGGGGAGCCUGGUCACCAACUGGAUGCUCAGGGGAGAUGGAACCCUGAGCAGCCCAUGUACAUGGAAGAUCUUUAUUGCAGAGAUCUUCAAACCAGCUAGUGUGCAUUUACUCCUGCCUCUCCAUGCCUGAAGGAAGGAAUGAAGAGGUCUCUGCUGUCCAUCUGAGCCAGUGACUGGGCUGUCUCUACCAGGCCAGAAUUUGGGGCAGGCAAGAUUUUCAGCAUCCCUAAAAUCACACUAAGAAGAUAAACAUGGAAACAGCUUGGAGCUGCCCUACCCAUAGUGAGGUGGUACUGACUGGAAGACAGCUUAAACGAUUUGGAGAAAAGUGGAAUACAUUAAUCUCAGAAAACUCUACCACCUGUAGAAAGAGAGCUAAAAUGGAGACAACCACAGGCAGUCUAAGAUACGCUGAACUACUACAGAAAAUAAUGCAGCAUGAAGGAAUGCUGGAAGGUAUGGGGUCAGAGCAAGCUGAUGGAGGGUCCUUCAUUUCCAAGCCACGAGUACAGCAGGAUGUAAGGCUUAGUUCAUAAGAACAUCUCCUGAAAGACAAUCUCUAUAAAAACUGUUUCAAUAGAAAGAAUGCAAGAUGUAACUGUUUAAUAAUAGGACUGAUAUUUUAAAAAACAAAUGAACGUAAUAGAAGACUAGAUGGAUGUGCUUCUCAAAGUCCUCUCUGUGGGAGGCUUCAUCCUCACUCUAGAUGUGUUGCCUGUAGCAGCUGUUAUUGAUUACCCGCCCAUAGCCUAUCCAUACUUACUCAUCAUUCCUUUACCUACCAGUGGCAUCCUAUUGGAAGCACCUGCGACUUUCUUAGGGCUUUCUCUUGGCCAAGCAUUGGAAGGCCAGCAGUAUUGAAAAGUUAAUAGUCUUGGAAGCACUGGCCCUCAACUAAUGACAAA
This 1304-nucleotide long non-coding RNA is filed under the name Homo sapiens (human). RNAcentral describes it as "HSALNT0348908". The record is from RNAcentral. Lineage: Eukaryota; Metazoa; Chordata; Mammalia; Primates; Hominidae.